RNAcentral lists this long non-coding RNA (404 nucleotides) under Mustela putorius furo (domestic ferret). Its description in RNAcentral is "lncRNA (ENSMPUG00000024681.1)". Lineage: Eukaryota; Metazoa; Chordata; Mammalia; Carnivora; Mustelidae. The record is from RNAcentral.
GACCAAAUUAAACAAACAAACAAACAAACAAACUCAAAUCAACUUUUAAUAGAAGAAAACACUAAUUGUAUUCCUUUCUUUUCAAACCAGAACAGCUUAUUUAUUCAUUGAACAAGUAUUUACUGAGUGCCUCCCCUGUGCUGGGCUGUGUUCUAGGAUCCGAUGUUGCAGCAGCUGGUGGAUGUUUGCUUUGAGAACCUGCAGCCUCCAGAAGAACUCAAAGCUGAAUAUUGGUGGAGACCAUUCACAAGCUAAAAACAGGAACUCCAAGUUCACAUUGGUUUUCUCCAGUUUGUAAUGUCAGAAUGAUGACUUGUUUGGGGAAUCAUUGACACCAGUGCUCUGCUCUCCAAUUCUAGGCAGCAUGGUAAGCACCUGGCUGAUUGUAGACCCAACAGACCGUA